Long non-coding RNA from Culex pipiens pallens (northern house mosquito), 979 nucleotides. RefSeq lists it as uncharacterized. The record is from RefSeq and is a predicted model, not a curated record. NCBI's taxonomy places the organism in Eukaryota, Metazoa, Arthropoda, Insecta, Diptera, Culicidae. The transcript has 2 exons.
CUCCUAGGGUUAACAUCCUGACAGCUAUUGCCGCGGUGUGAUAAGAACUGGAACCGGGAACUCUUGUGUUGGAACUUCAUUGUUUUUUCGUCCCACGCAACAACUAAUUGCGCUGAAUUUGAAGUAGAUUUUUGUGAAACUUUUUUUUUAGUUUUUGUUAAGCAAUUUUGAAAAAUAAUUUUGGUUAAAUUAAAAAUCCAAGUUCAAAUUGCACAAAAAUCUUCUUUAGAUACAGCGCCCAAAAGUGUACGCUGCUCCCCAUAGACCAAAAACUGGUCCACGCUGUGACGACAGCCCUGCAGCAACUGGAUGCUGCUGCGUGUUUCCUUUCACCAAGUUGUGCCUGUUAUUCCUUCGCCAAGUGGUUUCUUCUUGUUCUGAGAUUCUGCACGCUUGCUGUGAUGGCUUUAUACCCUCUUGGGGUUCUUGGCAGCUCCCGACAGGAUUUUCUACUCGAUUGAAUAAUAGAUUUAGUGCACUUUGACUAUCCCGGUAUCAAGAUAUCCCGGGCAACAAAGAAUCCGUUGAACUCAACUCGGAGCACGAACUAUAAAAAGCCGCGUCUGUUCGAAGUUCACCAUCAGUUGUUCAACAAAGUUCGAGCUCUUUCAAGCAUCCUCCCAAACAAACUCAAGAUGUUCAAAUUCGUCAUCGUCGUCCUGGCCCUCAUCGCCUCUGCGCUGGCCGUUCCGAAGCCGGUGCUACUGGCGGCCGCUCCCUCCUAUUCGUACACCGAGCGCUUUGAUAAGCCGGCACUGAGCUAUUACUCGGCACCCCUGCCCAGCUACUACCCUGCUGCCCCGGCACCGUACCUGCACACUCCACUGGCCUACAGUGCCCCCGUGGCAGCCUAUCCCGCUGAGUAUGCGCUGCUGUGAGAUGAGGAAGGAUAAAGACACGGGAUGGACAAAGGAAUUGAGAUUGGAAGACGUUCUGGAAUAUUUGUGAUGAUUUUGAAUAAACGGUGGUUCAAAAUGUA